AUUGAACGCUGGCGGCAGGCUUAACACAUGCAAGUCGAGCGGGGUGAUGGUGCUUGCACUAUCACUUAGCGGCGGACGGGUGAGUAAUGCUUAGGAAUCUGCCUAUUAGUGGGGGACAACAUCUCGAAAGGGAUGCUAAUACCGCAUACGUCCUACGGGAGAAAGCAGGGGAUCUUCGGACCUUGCGCUAAUAGAUGAGCCUAAGUCGGAUUAGCUAGUUGGGGGGGUAAAGGCCUACCAAGGCGACGAUCUGUAGCGGGUCUGAGAGGAUGAUCCGCCACACUGGGACUGAGACACGGCCCAGACUCCUACGGGAGGCAGCAGUGGGGAAUAUUGGACAAUGGGGGGAACCCUGAUCCAGCCAUGCCGCGUGUGUGAAGAAGGCCUUAUGGUUGUAAAGCACUUCAAGCGAGGAGGAGGCUACUCUAGUUAAUACCUAGGGAUAGUGGACGUUACUCGCAGAAUAAGCACCGGCUAACUCUGUGCCAGCCGCCGCGGUAA
This 501-nucleotide ribosomal RNA is filed under the name uncultured bacterium. Its description in RNAcentral is "partial 16S ribosomal RNA". It matches the Rfam family "Bacterial small subunit ribosomal RNA", at positions 30 to 523 of the family's 1533-position model. The record is from RNAcentral.